GCCAGGCUGGCUUAGUCAGCAGAGCAUGUGACUCUUGAUCUUAGGGUUGUGAGUUCAAACCCCACAUUGGGCA
Molecule: transfer RNA, 73 nt
Filed under: Felis catus (domestic cat)
Lineage: Eukaryota; Metazoa; Chordata; Mammalia; Carnivora; Felidae
Also listed under: 4 other names
Rfam family: tRNA
About the family: Transfer RNA (tRNA) molecules are approximately 80 nucleotides in length. Their secondary structure includes four short double-helical elements and three loops (D, anti-codon, and T loops). Further hydrogen bonds mediate the characteristic L-shaped molecular structure. tRNAs have two regions of fundamental functional importance: the anti-codon, which is responsible for specific mRNA codon recognition, and the 3' end, to which the tRNAs corresponding amino acid is attached (by aminoacyl-tRNA synthetases). tRNAs cope with the degeneracy of the genetic code in two manners: having more than one tRNA (with a specific anti-codon) for a particular amino acid; and 'wobble' base-pairing, i.e. permitting non-standard base-pairing at the 3rd anti-codon position.
Source: Rfam by way of RNAcentral